UCACCAUUUUUGCACCCGUUAACCGAGACCUAUGGGUGGAUAAAUUACGUCUCUCAUAUCCAUCAGUGAAGGGAUUGAUGGAAAUAUAGUAUCGC
This 95-nucleotide non-coding RNA is filed under the name unclassified sequences. The record is from Rfam.